GACGUAGGGGGCAAGCGUUGUCCGGAAUUACUGGGCGUAAAGAGCUCGUAGGUGGGACUAUAAGUCGAUGAGUAAAUAUCUCGGCUCAACUGAGAUGCCAUUGUCGAUACUGUAGUUCUUGAGGACAGGAGAGGAAAGUGGAAUUCCCGGUGUAGCGGUGAAAUGCGUAGAGAUCGGGAGGAACACCAGUGGCGAAGGCGGCUUUCUGGCCUGAUUCUGACACUGAGGAGCGAAAGCCAGGGGAGCGAACGGGAUUAGAUACCCCGGUAGUCCUGGCCGUAAACGAUGGGCACUAGGUGUAGGAGGUAUCAAUUCCUUCUGUGCCGCAGUUAACACAAUAAGUGCCCCGCCUGGGGAGUACGGCCGCAAGGUUG
Molecule: ribosomal RNA, 374 nt
Filed under: uncultured prokaryote
Description: bacterial SSU rRNA
Rfam family: Bacterial small subunit ribosomal RNA
Source: RNAcentral